AACGAACGCUGGCGGCAUGCCUAACACAUGCAAGUCGAACGAGACCUUCGGGUCUAGUGGCGCACGGGUGCGUAACGCGUGGGAACCUGCCCUUAGGUUCGGAAUAACUCCCCGAAAGGGGUGCUAAUACCGGAUAAUGUCUUCGGACCAAAGAUUUAUCGCCUUUGGAUGGGCCCGCGUUGGAUUAGCUAGUUGGUAGGUUAAAAGCCUACCAAGGCGACGAUCCAUAGCUGGUCUGAGAGGAUGAUCAGCCACACUGGGACUGAGACACGGCCCAGACUCCUACGGGAGGCAGCAGUGGGGAAUAUUGGAAAAUGGGCGAAAGCCUGAUCCAGCAAUGACGCGUGAGUGAUGAAGGCAUUAGGGUUGUAAAGCUCUUUUAACCGGGAUGAUAAUGACAGUACCGGGAGAAUAAGCUCCGGCUAACUCCGUG
RNAcentral lists this ribosomal RNA (433 nucleotides) under uncultured bacterium. Its description in RNAcentral is "partial 16S ribosomal RNA". It matches the Rfam family "Bacterial small subunit ribosomal RNA", at positions 29 to 507 of the family's 1533-position model. The record is from RNAcentral.